CUUUUGACGAAUUUUCGCUGACCAAAUUUACUCUGGAUUUUCGGAGAGAAAUGUUUCGGAAGACUUCCAAGUGUCAUGAUCUAAAACGUCGAAUCCUUUCUCUGUAAAUGUCAUGGGUAUCUGGUCGAUAUCGUCAGUGUCUUGCCUCAAUACUUCCACGUCAUAUUGUUCUUUUAAAAAAUUAAGUCUUGUAAACACCCAUGCACACACUUGCAAUGGUCACAUAAUCUAAAACAUCAACCCCUUGCCCGUGUGUGUUUUUCGUUUUCCCCGUUCCAGUUACCUCCAACAUCAAAUCACGAAAUCUUAACACUCCUUCCCUCAAGAUCGUCGUGUCACUGCAAUAGUAUUCUUUUAUUUCUUUUGCAAAGUCAAAUACUUCGUUUGUUUUCGUUUUGUACCACGACAAAAAAUCACUCCUGUCAUCCUUACUCAUGUA
RNAcentral lists this long non-coding RNA (439 nucleotides) under Mytilus galloprovincialis (Mediterranean mussel). The record is from RNAcentral. Lineage: Eukaryota; Metazoa; Mollusca; Bivalvia; Mytilida; Mytilidae.